UGAGCAAAACCAAGCGGCGGACGGGUGAGUAACGCGUGGGUAACCUGCCCUAUACACAUGGAUAACAUACUGAAAAGUUUACUAAUACAUGAUAAUAUAUAUUUGCGGCAUCGUAGAUAUAUCAAAGUGUUAGCGGUAUAGGGUGGACCCGCGUCUGAUUAGCUAGUUGGUGAGAUAACUGCCCACCAAGGCGACGAUCAGUAGCCGACCUGAGAGGGUGAUCGGCCACAUUGGAACUGGGACACGGUCCAAACUCCUACGGGAGGCAGCAGUGGGGAAUAUUGCACAAUGGGCGAAAGCCUGAUGCAGCAACGCCGCGUGAACGAUGAAGGUCUUCGGAUCGUAAAGUUCUGUUGCAGGGGAAGAUAAUGACGGUACCCUGUGAGGAAGCCCCGGCUAACUACGUGCCAGCAGCCGCGGUAAUACGUAGGGGGCUAGCGUUAUCCGGAUUUACUGGGCGUAAAGGGUGCGUAGGUGGUCCUUCAAGUCGGUGGUUAAAGGCUACGGCUCAACCGUAGUAAGCCGCCGAAACUGGAGGACUUGAGUGCAGGAGAGGAAAGUGGAAUUCCCAGUGUAGUCGGUGAAAUGCGUAGAUAUUGGGAGGAACACCAGUAGCGAAGGCGGCUUUCUGGACUGCAACUGACACUGAGGCACGAAAGCGU
This 662-nucleotide ribosomal RNA is filed under the name uncultured Peptostreptococcus sp. RNAcentral describes it as "bacterial SSU rRNA". It matches the Rfam family "Bacterial small subunit ribosomal RNA", at positions 82 to 762 of the family's 1533-position model. The record is from RNAcentral. Lineage: Bacteria; Bacillati; Bacillota; Clostridia; Peptostreptococcales; Peptostreptococcaceae.